CUACCGGGGUUUCUAAUCCUGUUUGCUCCCCACGCUUUCGCUCCUCAGCGUCAGUACCGGCCCAGAGAACCGCCUUCGCUACUGGUGUUCCUCCCGAUAUCUGCGCAUUUCACCGCUACACCGGGAAUUCCAUUCUCCUCUACCGGACUCGAGUCACAAUAGUUUCGACUGCAGUUCCGAGGUUGAGCCUCGGAAUUUCACAGCCGACUUACUGAACCGCCUACGAGCUCUUUACGCCCAAUGAUUCCGGACAACGCUCGCCCCCUACGUAUUACCGCGGCUGCUGGCAC
Molecule: ribosomal RNA, 290 nt
Filed under: uncultured Actinomycetes bacterium
Lineage: Bacteria; Bacillati; Actinomycetota; Actinomycetes
Description: uncultured actinobacterium partial 16S ribosomal RNA
Source: RNAcentral